ACGCUGGCGGCGUGCCUAACACAUGCAAGUCGAACGGAGAUUACGGACGGAAGUUUUCGGAUGGAAGACUGUAAUUCUUAGUGGCGGACGGGUGAGUAACGCGUGGGCAACCUGCCCUAUACAGGGGGAUAGCAGCUGGAAACGGCUGGUAAGACCGCAUAAGUCGGCGAAACCGCAUGGUUUUGCCGGGAAAUGAGCAAUCAGGUAUAGGAUGGGCCCGCGUCCGAUUAGCCAGUUGGCAGGGUAAAAGCCUACCAAAGCAACGAUCGGUAGCCGGACUGAGAGGUCGGACGGCCACAUUGGGACUGAGACACGGCCCAAACUCCUACGGGAGGCAGCAGUGGGGGAUAUUGCACAAUGGAGGAAACUCUGAUGCAGCGACGCCGCGUGAGUGAAGAAGUAUUUCGGUAUGUAAAGCUCUAUCAGCAGGGAAGAUGAUGACGGUACCUGACUAAGAAGCCCCGGCUAACUACGUGCCAGCAGCCGCGGUAAUACGUAGGGGGCAAGCGUUAUCCGGAUUUACUGGGUGUAAAGGGAGCGCAGGCGGUUUGGCAAGUUGAGAGUGGAAGCAGGGGGCUCAACCCCCUGACUGCUCCCAAAACUGUUAAACUUGAGUAUGGGAGAGGCAGGCGGAAUUCCUAGUGUAGCGGUGAAAUGCUUAGAUAUUAGGAAGAACACCGGUGGCGAAGGCGGCCUGCUGGACCAAAACUGACGCUGAGGCUCGAAAGCGUGGGUAGCAAACAGGAUUAGAUACCCUGGUAGUCCACGCUGUAAACAAUGAAUACUAGGUGCUGGGAGGCAUAAGCCUUUCGGUGCCGUCGUAAACGCAUUAAGUAUUCCACCUGGGGAGUACGUUCGCAAGAAUGAAACUCAAAGGAAUUGACGGGGACCCGCACAAGCGGUGGAGCAUGUGGUUGAA
This 919-nucleotide ribosomal RNA is filed under the name uncultured bacterium. RNAcentral describes it as "bacterial SSU rRNA". It matches the Rfam family "Bacterial small subunit ribosomal RNA", at positions 33 to 949 of the family's 1533-position model. The record is from RNAcentral.